Molecule: non-coding RNA, 3237 nt
Organism: Oreochromis niloticus (Nile tilapia)
Lineage: Eukaryota; Metazoa; Chordata; Actinopteri; Cichliformes; Cichlidae
Source: RefSeq, a predicted model, not a curated record
CCAGUAAGCAGCUUACCUGUGUGUCUAUUUUUAGUGUCCAGGUGUGGAGUGGAGCUUGUUGUUGGUGUCUCUGUGUGAAGAAACUAUGGGAUUUAGAUGUCUGUAAUUCUGGUGAGCUGAUGUGGAUGUAAAUUCAGCUGCAUGGAUGAGUGUGAGGACAGGGAGGAGGAAGUCCCUCCCUCUAAAAGAGCCAGAAAGAGCCAGAGCAAAGCUCGGAGGAACGAACCUGGACUUGCACCCAGCUCUGUGUCCCUAAAGAGUGUCCAGUCUAAACAUGAAGGUAUUAAAUUUAAAGACCAGCAGGCAUCUGCUGCAGAGAGAUUAAUACCAGAGGAACCAGUACAGGAGAAGCAGCUGGAGCCUCCAGCAUUGACUGCUUCAUCAGCAGAGGAGAAGCUUGCCAGGAUGCAGACACAGUUUGUUUUAAGAGUGCCAUCAGAAAUCCUUAAACAGCUCGUUGAGGCUCUUGUGACAGAUUGUGUUUUGAAUGACUUGGAGAAAGAAUCAAUACUGAUGGAGGAUGUUGGAGAAAAUGAAAAGAGGAUCAGAGUCAGAGAAGAGAGGGCUCGCUGCUUCAUUGAUGAAGUGAAGAAUAAAGGAAACAACGCCUGUGAGAAAAUGAUCAGACAUCUUCAGACCAAAGAUCCAGCUCUCUCCUCUCUGCUGCAUUUAUACUCGGAUACAUCUGCUCAUCAAGAUGUCAUUCAGAGUUGUCAACCUAAAGUUAAGUCUGCACUGAAGAAGAAGUUCCAGUGUGUGUUUGAGGGGAUUGCCAAAGCAGGAAUCCCAACCCUUCUGAAUCAGAUCUACACAGAGCUCUACAUCACAGAGGGAGGGACUGCAGAGGUCAAUUAUGAACAUGAGGUCAUACAGAUUGAAGCAGAAUCUAGGAAACUAGACAGACCAGAAACAACAAUCGGAGAGGAAAACCUCUUUAAAGCCUCACAUGGAAGAAAUGAACCAAUCAGAACAGUGCUGACAAAGGGGGUGGCUGGCAUUGGGAAAACAGUCUUAACACAGAAAUACACCCUGGACUGGGCUGAAGACAAAGCCAACCAGGACAUCCAGUUCAUAUUUCCAUUCACUUUCAGAGAGCUGAAUAUGCUAAAACAGAAAAAGUUCAGCUUGGUGGAACUUGUUCAUCACUUCUUUACUGAAACCAAAGAAGCAGGAAUCUGCAGCUUUGAAGACUUCCAGGUUGUGUUCAUCUUUGAUGGUCUCGAUGAGUGUCGCCCUCCCCUGGACUUCCACAACACUGAGAGUGUGACUGAUGUUACAGUGCCCACUGCAGUUAAUGUACUUCUCACAAACCUGAUCAGGGGGAAACUGCUUCCCUAUGCUCAUAUCUGGAUAACCACACGACCUGCAGCAGCUGAUCAGAUCCCCCCGGAGUAUGUUCACAGAGUGACAGAGGUCAGAGGGUUCACUGAUCCACAGAAGGAGGAGUACUUCAGGAAGAGAUUCAGAGAUGAGGAGCAGGCCAGCAGGAUCAUCUCCCACAUCAAGACAUCACGAAGCCUCCACAUCAUGUGCCACAUCCCAGUCUUCUGCUGGAUCACUGCUACAGUUCUGGAGGAUGUGCUGAAAGCAAGAGAGGGAGGACAGCUGCCCAAGACCCUGACUGAGAUGUACAUCCACUUCUUGGUGGUCCAGGCCAAAGUGAAGAAGAUCAAGUAUGAUGGAGGAGCUGAGACAGAUCCACACUGGAGUCCAGACAGUAGGAAGAUGAUGGAGUCUCUGGGAAAACUGGCUUUUGAUCAGCUGCAGAAAGGAAACCUGAUCUUCUAUGAAUCAGACCUGACAGAGUGUGGCAUCGAUAUCAGAGCAGCCUCAGUGUACUCAGGAGUGUUCACACAGAUCUUUAAAGAGGAGAGAGGACUGUACCAGGACAAGGUGUUCUGCUUCAUCCAUCUGAGUGUUCAGGAGUUUCUGGCUGCUCUUCAUGUCCAUCUGACCUUCAUCAACUCUGGAGUCAAUUUGCUGGAAGAACAAAAAACAACCUCCCAGAAGCCUGAGACCAAAGAAUUUGCAGAGACAGAUUUCUACCAGAGUGCUGUGAACAAGGCCUUACAAAGUCCAAAUGGACACCUGGACUUCUUCCUCCGCUUCCUCCUGGGUCUUUCACUACAGACCAGUCAGAUUCUCCUGCAAGGCCUGCUGACACAGACAGAAAGUAGCUCACAGACUAAUCAGGAAACAGUGCAGUACAUCAAGGAGAAGCUCAGUGAGAAUCUGUCUGCAGAGAAAAGCAUCAAUCUGUUCCACUGUCUGAAUGAACUGAAUGAUUGUUCUCUAAUGGAGGAGAUCCAACAGUCCCUGAGAUCAGGAAGUCUCUCCACAGAUAAACUUUCUCCUGCUCAGUGGUCAGCCCUGGUUUUCAUCUUACUGUCAUCAGAAAAAGAUCUGGAUGUGUUUGACCUUAAGAAAUACUCUGCUUCAGAGAAGGCUCUUCUGAGGCUGUUGCCAGUGGUGAAAGCCUCCAACAAAGUUCUACUAAGUGGUUGUAGUCUCUCACAAAGAAGCUGCGAAGCUUUGUGCUCAGUUCUCAACUUACAUUCCUCUAGUCUGAGAGAGCUGGACCUGAGUUACAACAAUGUGCAGGAUUCAGGAGUGAAUAAGCUUUUUGUUGGAGUAGAGAGUCCGCAUUCUAAACUGGAAACUCUCAGACUGAAUGUCUGUAACCUCUCGGAGAGAAGCUGUAAGACUCUUUCCUCAGUUCUGAACUCACAUUCCUCUAGUCUGAGAGAGCUUGACCUGAGUGACAACAAUCUGCAGGAUUCCGGCGUGAAGAAGCUUUCUGUUGGAAUCAACACAUCACAUUGUAUACUAGAAAUUCUUAGACUGAGUGGCUGUAACCUCUCAGAAAGUAGCUGUGAAGCUCUUUCCUCGGUUCUCAACUCCCAAUCAUCUAGUCUGAGAGAGUUUCACCUAAACAACAAUGACCUGCAGGAUUCAGGCAUGAAGAAACUGUCUGUUGGUUUGGAGAGUCCAAAUUGUAAACUGGAAAUUCUCAGACUGUCAGGCUGUCUGAUCACAGAUGAAGGCUGUAGUUAUCUGGCCUCUGCCCUGAGUGCCAACCCCUCCCACCUGAGAGUGCUGGACCUGAGUUACAAUCAUCCAGGCGACUCCGGAAUGAAGGUGCUGUUGGCUGGACUGAAGGAUCCACACUGGAGACUGGACACUCUCAGGGUGGAGCCUGCUGGAGUCCAAUGGUUGAGACCAGGUCUGAUCGUUUAA